This 475-nucleotide ribosomal RNA is filed under the name uncultured bacterium. RNAcentral describes it as "bacterial SSU rRNA". It matches the Rfam family "Bacterial small subunit ribosomal RNA", at positions 335 to 800 of the family's 1533-position model. The record is from RNAcentral.
ACUCCUACGGGAGGCAGCAGUGGGGAAUAUUGCACAAUGGGCGCAAGCCUGAUGCAGCCAUGCCGCGUGUGUGAAGAAGGCCUUCGGGUUGUAAAGCACUUUCAGUUGUGAGGAAAGGUUAGUCGCUAAUAUCGGCUAGCUGUGACGUUAGCAACAGAAGAAGCACCGGCUAACUCCGUGCCAGCAGCCGCGGUAAUACGGAGGAUCCAAGCGUUAUCCGGAAUCAUUGGGUUUAAAGGGUCCGUAGGUGGAUGAUUAAGUCAGAGGUGAAAAUCCUGCAGCUCAACUGUAGAAUUGCCUUUGAUACUGGUUGUCUUGAAUUAUUGUGAAGUAGUUAGAAUAUGUGGUGUAGCGGUGAAAUGCAUAGAUAUCACAUAGAAUACCGAUUUCGAAGGCAGAUUACUAACAAUACAUUGACACUGAUGGACGAAAGCGUGGGGAGCGAACAGGAUUAGAUACCCUGGUAGGAUAGCGU